GAAAAACAAGCUAAGGCCUCCCACUCAUUCUACAUUAUGAACCACCUAAGCUAAAGAUUCUUUUGAGAACAAGGGCUAGCCUGUGGUUUCAUGGCCUUUCUUCCAUUUGGGGUUCUUGCCAAGUGGAAUUUAAAUGACCUCUUAUCAAGAUGGAUAAACCCAAGUUUCCCAGUGCUGGAAUACAGAAAAUGGAUGGACAAGAUGUCUUUUUGUCACUUCCAGCUGGAUCUACCAUGAAAGACGUCAGAGUCCAGGAAGAGAGACUGACUGGGCAACAUGUUAUUCAGAAUUAGAGAAGAUGAUGUGGUGAUGGAAGAAGAGGUCAGAGAGGGAGAUUUGAAGAUGUUGCAGUUCUGGCCUUCAAGAUGGAGUCAGGGGCUAUCUUCAAGAGAGAAGAUCUUGAUCUGUGGCCCAGGCUGCAGUACAGU
Molecule: long non-coding RNA, 428 nt
Filed under: Homo sapiens (human)
Lineage: Eukaryota; Metazoa; Chordata; Mammalia; Primates; Hominidae
Description: HSALNT0341374
Source: RNAcentral